GACGAACGUUGGCGGCGUGCUUAAUACAUGCAAGUCAACUGAAGCAGUGGUAGUAAUACUACUGUGGAGGUGGCGCAACGGGUGAGUAACGCGUAGGUAAUCUGCCUUUGGAUCUGACAUAACUCCGAGAAAUCGAAGCUAAUAUCAGAUGAUGCAGCGGCUUGACAUCAAGACAGUUGUUAAAGCUUCGGCGCCCAAAGAUGAGCCUGCGUCCCAUUAGGUAGUUGGCGGAGUAAUAGCCCACCAAGCCCACGAUGGGUAGCUGGUCUGAGAGGACGACCAGCCACACUGGGACUGAGACACGGCCCAGACUCCUACGGGAGGCAGCAGUGGGGAAUCUUGGACAAUGGAGGAAACUCUGAUCCAG
RNAcentral lists this ribosomal RNA (367 nucleotides) under uncultured bacterium. Its description in RNAcentral is "bacterial SSU rRNA". It matches the Rfam family "Bacterial small subunit ribosomal RNA", at positions 28 to 391 of the family's 1533-position model. The record is from RNAcentral.